UACGGAGGGUGCAAGCGUUAUCCGGAUUUACUGGGGUUAAAGGGUGUGUAGGCGGGCUAUUAAGUCAGUGGUGAAAUCUCCGGGCUCAACCUGGAAACUGCCAUUGAUACUAUUAGUCUUGAAUUCUGUUGAGGUGGGCGGAAUAAAUCAUGUAGCGGUGAAAUGUAUAGAUAUGAUUUAGAACACCAAUUGCGAAGGCAGCUCGCUAAACAGAUAUUGACGCUGAGGCACGAAAGCGUGGGGAUCAAACAGG
Molecule: ribosomal RNA, 253 nt
Filed under: uncultured bacterium
Lineage: Bacteria
Description: partial 16S ribosomal RNA
Rfam family: Bacterial small subunit ribosomal RNA
Source: RNAcentral